RNAcentral lists this ribosomal RNA (742 nucleotides) under Trentepohliaceae sp. Kukwa 19334. RNAcentral's name for it is "SSU rRNA". It matches the Rfam family "Eukaryotic small subunit ribosomal RNA", at positions 292 to 1043 of the family's 1831-position model. Lineage: Eukaryota; Viridiplantae; Chlorophyta; Ulvophyceae; Trentepohliales; Trentepohliaceae. The record is from RNAcentral.
GUUUCAUUCAAAUUUCUGCCCUAUCAACUUUCGACGGUAGGGUAGUGGCCUACCGUGGUGGUAACGGGUGACGGAGGAUUAGGGUUCGAUUCCGGAGAGGGAGCCUGAGAAACGGCUACCACAUCCAAGGAAGGCAGCAGGCGCGCAAAUUACCCAAAUCCCAACUCGGGGAGGUAGUGACAAGAAAUAACGAUGCUCCGGCCAUCGGUCGGGUAAUCGGAAUGAGGACAAUUUAAAUCCCUUAUCGAGGAUCAAUUGGAGGGCAAGUCUGGUGCCAGCAGCCGCGGUAAUUCCAGCUCCAAUAGCGUAUAUUUAAGUUGCUGCGGUUAAAAAGCUCGUAGUCGGAUUUCGGGUGGUGCCUACCGGUCCGCCCUUGGUGUGUACUGGUAGGCGCCACCUUUCUGCCGAGGACGGGUUCCUGGGCUUAGCUGUCUGGGGCCCGGAGUCGGCGAUGUCACUUUGAGUAAAUUAGGGUGUUUAAAGCAGGCUUAUGCUCUGUAUACACUAGCAUGGGAUGACACGAUAGGACUUCGGUCUAUCUUGUCGGUCUGUAGAUCGGAGUAAUGAUUAAGAGGGACAGUCGGGGGCAUUCGUAUUUCGUAGUCAGAGGUGAAAUUCUUGGAUUUACGGAAGACGAACUUCUGCGAAAGCAUUUGCCAAGGAUGUUUUCAUUGAUCAAGAACGAAAGUCGGGGGCUCGAAGACAAUUAGAUACCGUCGUAGUCUCGACCAUAAACGAUGCC